Amborella trichopoda is the source of this 15716-nucleotide non-coding RNA. NCBI's taxonomy places the organism in Eukaryota, Viridiplantae, Streptophyta, Magnoliopsida, Amborellales, Amborellaceae. The record is from RefSeq and is a predicted model, not a curated record.
UGUCUGUUCGCUCUUUUCUUUUUUAUUUGGUUAGGUUCAGUUUGGUAUAGUGAUAUAGUUUUUGCUCAUUAGUUGUAAAUGGUUAUAUGUUGAUUGUGAAAUCUUGAUUUGUAUCGAUUGUUCUCCUUACGUACCAUGAUGAUUUGCCCUUGUAAUUGGUGGGGAACACAUUGGAUUCUUUCGAGUUUGGUGUCUAGCAGUGUAGUUUGAUUUAUUUGGACCCAACUUCGGACCUUCUUUCUUGUUGUCUAGCAUAGAGUUGCUCUUUGUUAAUUAUAUGAUUAUACACUUGUGUCCCGCGAUGCUGUAGGUAGGGGAGCUAUAUACCAAUCGGUUGUUUGCCCAAUGGGAUCCAUUGCAUACGAUAGCUGUGUGGGCUCUAUUUAGUAUGGUUUAAUUAUAGUUUAGUGUUUUGGAUCUCUCAAAGGUAUAUACAUUCGCUGUUAUGUUAGGGGUUUAGGCUGCAUCAUGGUGGUAGCAACCUUAUUGUUAGUUGAUUUGUAUUUCAGUUUCUUGUUGCAUUUUGCUGGAUGACUGGCAGUUGGGUUUCUAUAUGCUUUCUGACGGGAACAUGCAGACUGUUUUGGGUGAGACUGUGAAGUCUUAGUUUGUAAUGAUUAUUUUCCUUUGGUACCAUGGUGAUUGGUCCUUGCUGGAGGUGGCACACAUGGAGCCGUUUCGAGUUUUUUAUUUUGCAGUGUGGUUUGAUUUAUCUGGAUUCAACUUUGGACCUUUCUUGUUGGCCAGCCUAGAGUUGCUCUUUUAUAAUUAUAUGAUGAUACUAUUACGGUCUGGCGUUGCUGUAGGUGGGGGAGCUAUAUAUCAAUUGGUGGUUUGCUUAAUGGGCUCCAUGGCAUACGGCUGCUGGGUGGGCUCCAUUUGGUAUGUCUAAAUUAUAGUGAAGUGUUAUGGAUCUCGCUGAUGUAUAUACAUUGGUUGUUGUUAUGUUAGGGGAUUUGGCUGCAUCAUGUUGCUAGCAACCAUAAUUUUUGUUGAUUUGUAUUUGAGUUUCCUGUAGCAUUUUUGUUGGGUGGCUGGUGGUUAGGUUUCUAUAUGCUUUCUUGCUGGAAGAUAUGUGGACAAUAUGACGUGUCGAGAGUGCCAAGACCAUUCAAAUGUCAGAAACAUGUGUACCAUUUAUGGAGCUCUGUUGAAUGGGCACAAGUUAUCCUUGAUAUCUUUGAAUAUCAAUUUUAUCGAUGAUACACUCUCUAUUGGCUUUCUGCCUGAUCUUAUGAGGUGUGUAGGUAGUUCCAUCCUUGGGGUCUCUAACAGUGACUCUUCUGGACCAGAAGCGCCAACACAAAUGGAUUGGGGUUUGGUGCACGUGGUUAUUAAUUGAGAUCCGGUUGCAAAAGAUGGUUCGAUCUGUAUCUUGCCUUUACCUAUUUGACUUGAAGUUGUCUGAGUUGUCUAGUGUUGGAUUGAUUCUUCCAGCGACCUUUUGGUUUCAGAUGGAAUGAGCAUGAAAAGUUACCUGAGAUAUUUAUUUAUUGGAUUUUCAGAGAUCAGAGGUGGAAGAGAAGGGAUAUGGUGAUGUUGUCCGUUCUCUCUUGACUUUUUUAUGGGUCGGGAUCAGUUUGGUUCAAUGUUAUAAUUUUUGCUCAUUGGUUGUAAAUGUUUAUAUGUUGAUUGUGAAAUCUUGAUUUGUAUUGAUUGUUCCCCUUAGAUAGCAUGAUAAACACAUUGGACUGUUUCGAGUUUGUUGUCUAGCAGUGUGGUUUAUUUUAUUUGCACCCAACUUUUGAACUUCUUUCUCAACUUUUGAACUUCUUUCUUCUUGUCUAGCCUAGAGUUGCUCUUAGUUAAUUAUAUCAUUAUAUGCUUGUGUCCCUCGAUGCUGUAGGUGGGGGAGCUAUAUAUCAAUCAGUUGUAUGCCCAAUGGGAUCCCUUGCAUACGGCUGCUGUGUCGGCUCAAUUUAGUAAGGUUUAAUUAUAGUUUAGUGCCUUGGAUUUCUCAAAGGGUAUGCAUUGGCUGUUAUGUUAGGGGUUUAGGCUGCAGCAUGGUGGUAGCAACCAUGUUGUUAGUUGAUUUGUAUUUCAGUUUCUUGUUUCAUUUUGCUAGAUGACUGGCGGUUGGUUUUCUCUAUGCUUUCUGACUGGAACAAGCGAACAGUUUGAGGUGAUGGGAGCGCCGGGAACAUCGUUUAGCAUUUAUAGUGCUAUGAUGAAGGGUCGUAAGUUAUUCGUGAUCUCUUUGGAUGUCAAUUUCAUUGAUGAUACAUUCUAUAUUGGUUAUCUGUCUGAUCUACAAGGUGUCUUGGUAGCUGCGUGUUUGGUGUAUGUUACAGUGAACUCUCCAUUGGUGGACCAGGAGCGCCAACACACAAGGAAUGUGGACGGGUACAUUAAUUUGUUAAUUGAGAACUGGUUGCAAAGUGAAAGAUGGUUUGAUCUGUGCCCCGUGUCCUGACCUUUCAUGUGAAUUGUAGUUUUUUGAGUUUAGUGUUGGAUUGAUUUAUACAUUCUUUUAGUCACCGUUUGGUCUGAGAUAUAAAGAGGAUAAAAAGAUAACUGAGAUAUGCAUUUUUUGGUUUUUCAGAUAUUGGAGGUGUGGAAUAAAGGGGAUUUGGUGGUUUUGUUCUUUCACUCUUUAAUUUUUUAUUGGCGGUUCCUUUUAUUCAAGAUUUUGUUUAGUUGAGCACCUAUAGGAGCUGUUGUAUAUUGGUCCAUCAUUAUACUCGAUGCUAUUCUCUCUCUUUAAAUAAGCUCUUUGCAAUAUGUUGUUUUUGUUACUUUGGUAUCUGGGCUUUACCUCUUUAUUCUAUGUUUAUUUUGUUUUCCUUGAGAUUUGUGUUUGUAUAGUUUGAUUAUCAUCUUUGGCUUCAGUACAUUUUGUUAUAUGUUUUUUUUUUAUUUGUGAAUGUGAAUUCUUAGUUUGCAUUGAUUAUUCUCCUUAGGUACCAUGGUGAUUGGUCCUUGCAAACGGCGCGGUACACAUGGAGCCGUUUCGAGUUUGUUAUUUAACAGUGUGGUUUGAUUUAUCUAGAUUCAACUUUGGACCUUUCUUGUUGGGUAACCUAGAGUUGCUCUUGUAGCCUGGCGAUGCUAUAGGUGGGGGAGCUAUUUAUCAUUUGAUGGUAUGCUUAAUGGGCUCCAUGGCAUACGGAUGCUGGGUGGGCUCCAUUUGGUAUGUCUAAAUUAUAGUGUAGUGUUAUGGAUCUCUCAGAUGUAUAUACGUUGGCUGUUGUUAUGUUAGGGGUUUUGGCUGCAUCAUGUUGCUAGCAACCAUAUUUUUAGCUGAUCUAUAUUUGAGUUUUCUGUAGCAUUUUAUUGGGUGGCUGGCUGUUAGGUUUUUAUAUGUUUUCUUUUCAGAAGAUAACUGGACAGUAUGAGGUGAUGAGAGUGCCAAGAACAUUUAAAUAUCAGAAACAUGUGUACCAUUUAUGUAGCUUUUCUAGUGUUGGAUUGAUUCUUCCAGCGAUCUUUUGCUUUCAGAUGGAAUGAGCAUGAACAGUUACCUGAGAUAUUUAUAGGAUUUUCCUAUAGCAUUUUAUUGGGUGCCUGGCACUUAAGUUUCUAUAUGCUUUCUUGCAGUAAGAUAUGUGAAGAGCAUGAGGUGAUGAGAGUGCCAAGAACAUUCAAAUAUAUGAAACAUGUAUACCUUUUAUGGAGCUCUGUUGAAUGAGCGUAAGUUAUGCUUGAUUUCUUUCGAUGUCAAUUUCAUGACUGAUACACUCUCUAUUAGCUUUCUGCCUUAUCUAUGAGUUGUGUAGGUAGUUCCAUCCUUGGGGUUUGUGACAGUGACUCUUCUGGACAAGAAGCGCCAACAUAAAUGGAAUGGGGUCGGGUGCACAUGGUUAUUAAUUGAGAUGUGGUUGCAAAAGACGGUUUGAUCUGCCUCUUGCCCUGCCCUAUUUGACUUGCAGUUGUCUGAGUUGUCUAGUGUUGGAUUGAUUCUUCCAGUGACCUUUUGGUUUCAGAUGGUAUGAGCAUGAAAAGUUAACUGAGAUAUUAAUUUGUUGGAUUUUCAGAGAUCGGAGGUGGAAGAGAAGGGAUAUGGUGAUGUUGUCUGUUUGCUCUUUACUUUUUUGUUGUUCGGGAUUAGUUUGGUACAGUGAUAUAGUUUUUGCUCAUUGGUUGUAAAUGUUUAUAGGUUGAUUGUGAAAUCUUGAAUUGUAUUGAUUGUUCUCCUUAGGUACCGGGAUGAUUUGUAAUCAGUGGGGAACACAUUGGACUGUUUCGAGUUUGUUGUCUAGCAGUGUGGUUUGAUUUAUUUGGACCCAACUUUGGACCUUCUUUCUUGUUGUCUAGCCUAGAGUUGCUCUUUGUUAAUUAUAUGAUUAUACGCUUGUGUCUCAAGAUGCUGUAGGCGGGGGAGCUAUAUAUCAAUCGGUUGUUUGCCCAAUGGUAUCCAUUGCAUACGGCUGCUGUGUGGGCUUUAUAUUAUAUGGUUUAAUUAUAGUUUAGUGUUAUGGAUCUCUCAAAGGUAUAUACAUUGGCUGUUAUGUUGGGGGUUUAGGCUGCAUCAUGGUGGUUACAACCAUAUUGUUAGUUGAUUUGUAUUCCAGGUUGUUGUUGCAUUUUUCUUGAUGACUGGCUGUUGGGUUUGUUUAUGCUUUCUGACUGGAACAUGCGGACUGUUACAUGCGGACUGUUUGAGGUGACGGGAGUGCUAGGAACAUCGUUUACCAUUAUAGAGCUCUGGUGAAUGGUCGUAAGUUAUCUUCGAUAUCUUUGGAUGUCAAUUUCAUUGAUGAUACAUUCUAUAUUUGUUUACUGCCUGAUCUACGAGGUGUCAGGGUAGCUCCGUCUUUGGUGUCUGUAAUAGUGAACUCUCCUGUGGUGGACCAGCAGCACCAACUCAUAUGGAUUGGGGACGGGUACAUUGGGUUGUUAAUUGAGAACUGGAUGCAAUGUGAAAGAUGGUUUGAUCUUUGCCUCUUGUCCUGACCUUUCAUGUGAAUUGUAGUUUUUCGAGUUUAGUGUUGGUUUGAUUUAUAUGUUCUUUAAGUGACCGUUUGGUUUGAGAUAGAAAGUGGAUCUAAAGUCAAUUGAGAUAUGCAUUUUUUGUUUUUUCAUAUAUUUGAGGUGUGGAAUAGAUGGGAUUUGGUGGUGUUGUCCAUUCACUCUUUACUGUUUUAUUGGUGGUUCCUUUUAUUUAGGAUUUUCUUUAGUGGAGCUCCGAUAGGAGCUGUUGUAUGUUCGUCUAUCACAAUACUCGAUGCUAUUCUUUCACUUUAAUUAACCACUUGACAAUAUGUUGUGUUUGUUAGUUUGCUAUUUGGGCGUUACCUCUUUAUUCUUUGUUUAUUUGGUUUUCCUUGAGAUUUGUGUUUGCAUAGUUUGAUUGUCAUCUUUGUCUUCAGCAUAGUUUGUUAUCUUUUCUUUUCGAUUUUUGAUUGUGAAGUCUUAGUUUGCAAUGAUUCUUCUCCUUAGGUACUAUGGUGAUUGGUCCUUUCAGACAGUGGCACACAUGGGGCAGUUUCGAGUUUGUAUUCUAGCAGUGUUGUUUGAUUUAUCUGGAUUCAACUUUGGACCUCUCUUGUUGGCUAGCCUAAAGUUGAUCUUUUCUAAUUAUAUGAUGAUACUUUUGCGGCCUGGCGAUGCUUUAGGUGGGCGAGCUAUAUAUCUAUUGGUUGUUUGCUUAACGGGCUCCAUGGCAUAUGGCUGUUGGGUGGGCUCCAUUUGGUCAUUUUAUAUUAUAGUGAAGUGUUAUGGAUCUCUCAAAUGUAUAUACGUAUGCUGUUGUUAUGUUAGGGGUUUUGGCUGCAUCAUGUUGCUAGCAACCAUAUUUUUAGCUGAUCAGUAUUUGAGUUUCCUGUAGCAUUUUUUUGGGCGACUGGCAGUUAGGUUUCUCUAUGCUUUCUUGCUGGAAAAUAUGUGGACAGUAUGAGGUGACGAGAGUGCCAAGAACAUUCAAAGAUCAGAAACAUGUGUACCAUUUAUGGAGCUUUGUUGAAUGGGUGUAAGUUAUGCUUGAUUUCUUCGAAUGUCAAUUUCUUGUAUGAUACACAACUGGAAUGGGUCGGGUGCACAUGGUUUUUAAUUGAGAUCUGGUUUCAAGAGAUGGUUUGAUCUGCCUCUUGCCUUGUCCUAUUCGACUUGCAGUUGUCUGAGUUGUCUAGUGUUGUAUUGAUUCUUCCAGCUACCUUUUGGUUUCGGAUGGAAUGAGCAUGAAAAGUUACCUGAGAUAUUUAUUUAUUGGAUUUUCAGAGAUCAGAGGUGGAAAGGAAGGGAUAUGGUGAUGUUGUCCGUUCUCUCUUUGCUUUUUUAUUGGUCGGGAUCAGUUUGGUACAGUGAUAUCGUUUUUUCUCACUGGUUGUAAAUGUUUAUAUGCUGAUUGUGAAAUCUUUAUUUGUAUUGAUUGUCCUGCAUAGGUACCAUGAUGAUUUGCCCUUGUAAUCGGUGGGGAACACAUUAGACUGUUUCGAGUUUGUAAUCUAGCAGUGUGGUUUGAUUUAUUUGGACCCAACUAUGGACCUUCUUUCUUGUUGUCUAGCCUAGAGUUGCUCUUUGUUAAUUAUAUGAUUACACGCUUGUGUUCCGCGAUGCUGUAGGUGGAGGAGCUAUUUGUUGAUCGGUUUGGCCAAUGGGAUCCAUUGCAUACGACUGCUGUGUGGGUUUUAUUUAGUAUGGUUUAAUUAUAGUUUAGUGUUAUGGAUCUCUCAAAGGUAUAUACAUUGGCUGUUAUGUUGGGGGUUUAGGCUGCAUCAUGGUGGUUGCAACCAUAUUGUUAGUUGAUUUGUAUUCCAGUUUGUUGUUGCAUUUUUCUUGAUGACUGGCAGUUGGGUUUCUUUAUGCCUUCUGACUGGAACAUGCGGACUGUUACAUGCGGACUGUUUGAGGUGACGGGAGUGCUAGGAACAUCAUUUUCCAUUUAUAGAGCUCUGAUGAAAGGUCGUAAGUUAUCCUUGAUCUCUUUGGAUGUCAAUUUCAUUGAUGAUACAUUCUAUAUUUGUUUUCUGCCUGAUCUACGAGGUGUCAGGGUAGCUCCGUCUUUGGUGUCUGUAAUAGUGAACUCUCCUGUGGUGGACCAGCAGCACCAACUCAUAUGGAUUGGGGACGGGUACAUUGGGUUGUUAAUUGAGAACUGGAUGCAAACUGAAAGAUGGUUUAAUCUGUGCCUCUUGCCUUAAUCUUUCAUGUGAAUUGUAGUUUUUUGAGUUUAGUGUUGGUUUGAUUGAUACGUUCUUUUAGUCACUGUUUGGUUUGAGAUGGAAAGAGGAUAAAAAGUCAUCUGAGAUAUGCAUUUUUUUGUUUUUCAGAUAUUGGAGGUGUGGAAUAAGGGGAUUUGGUGGUGUUGUCCAUUAACUCUUUACGUUUUUAUUGGUGGUUCCUUUUUUUCAGGAUUUUCUUUAGAUGAGCUCCUGUAGGAGCUGUUGUAUAUUGAUCCAUCACUAUACUCGAUGCUAUUCUCUCUCUCUAAAUAAGCUCUUUAAACUAUUAUGUGUUUGUGAUUGUGAAGUCUGAGUUUGCAAUGAUUAUUCUCCUUAGGUACAAUGGUGAUUGUCCUUGCAUGGGGCCGUUUCGAGUUUGUUGUCUAGCAGUGUGGUUUGAUUUAUCUGGAUUCAACUUUGGACCUUUCUUUUUGGUUAGCCUAGAGUUGCUCUUAGUUAAUUAUAUGAUGAUACUCUUUCGGCUUGGCGAUGCUGUAGGUGGGGGAGCUAUAUAUGAAUUGAUGGUCUCCUUAAAGGGCUCCAUGAUAUUCGGCUGCUGGGUGGGCUCCAUUUGGUAUGUCUAAAUUAUAGUGAAGUGUUAUGGAUCUCUCAGAUGUAUAUACGUUGGCUGUUGUUAUGUUAGGGGUUUUGGCUGCAUCAUGUUGCUAGCAACCAUAUUUAUAGCUGAUCUGUAUUUGAGUUUCCUGUAGCAUUUUAUUGGGUGGUUGGCAGUUAAGUUUCUAUAGGCUUUCUUUCUGGAAGAUAUGCGGACAGUAUGAGGUGACGAGAGUGCCAAGAACAUUCAAAUAUCAGAAACAUGUGUACCAUUUAUGGAGCUCUGUUGAAUGAGCAUAAGUUAUACUUGAUAUCUUUGGAUGUCAUUUUCAUGUAUAAUGCACUCUAUUGGCUUUCUUCCUGAUCUAUGAGGUGUGUAGGUAGUUCCAUCCUUGGGGUCUGUAACAGUGAGUAUUCUGGACCAAUAACCCCAACUCAAAUGAAAUGGGGUCGGGUUCACAUGGUUAUUAAUUGAGUUCUGGUUGCAAAAGAUGGUUUGAUCUGCCUCUUGCCUUGACCUAUUUGAUUUGCAGUUGUCUGGUGUUGGAUUGAUUCUUCCAGCGGCCUUUUGGUUUCAGAUGGAAUGGCAUGAAAAUUUAUACCUAAGAUAUUUAUUUAUUGGAUUUUCUGCGAUUGGAGGUUGAAGAGAAGGGAUAUGAUGAUGUUGUCUGUUCUCUCUUUGCUUUUUAUUGGACGGGAUCAGUUUGGUACAGUGUUGUGGCUUUUGCUCAUUGGUUGUAAAUGUUUAUCUGUUGAUUGUGAAAUCUUAAUUUGUAUUAAUUGUUCUCCUUAGGUACCAUGAUGAUUUGCCCUUGUAAUCGGUGAGGAGCACAUUGGACUAUUUCGAGUUUGUUGUCUAGCAGUGUGGUUUGAUUUAUUUGGACCCAACUUUGGACCUUCUUUCUUGUUUUCUAGCCUAGUGUUGCUCUUAUUUAAUUAUAUGUUUAUAUGCUUGUGUCCCGCGAUGCUGUUGGUUUCGGAGCUAUAUAUCAUUCGGUUUUUUUCCGAAUGGGAUCCAUUGCAUUCGGCUGGUGUGUGGGCUCUAUUUAGUUUGGUUUAAUUUAAGCCUAGCGUUUUGGAUCUCUCAAAUGCAUAUAGAUUGGCUGUUUUGUUGGGGGUUUAGGCUGCAUCAUGGUGGUAACAACCAUUUGGUUAGUUGAUUUGUAUUUCAGUUUGUUGUUGCAUUUUUCUCGACGAUUGGCAGUUGGGUUUCUCUAUGCUUUCUGACUGGGACAUGCGGAUUGUUUGAGUUGACAGCAGUGCUAGGAACAUCGUUUACCAUUUAUAGAGCUGUGAUAAAUGGUCGUAGGUUAUCCUUGAUCUCUUUGGAUGUCAAUUUCAUUGAUGAUAUAUUCUAUAUUGGUUUUCUGCCUGAUCUAUGAGGUGUUUGGGUAGCUCCGUCUUUGGUGUUUGUAACAGUGAACUCUCCAGUGGUGGACCAGGAGCUCUAACACACAUGGAAUGGGGACGGGUACAUUGGGUUGUUAAUUGAGAACUGGAUGCAAAGUGAAAGAUGGUUUGAUCUGUGCCUCUUGUCCUGACCUUUCAUGUGAAUUGUUGUUUUUUUAGUUUUGUGUUGGUUUGAUUUAUACGUUCUUUUAGUCACCGUUUGGUUUGAGAUGGAAAGAGGAUCAAAAGUCAACUGAGAUAUACAUUUUUUGGUUUUUCAGAUAUUGGAGAUGUGGAUUUGGUGGUGCUGUCCAUUCACUCUUUACUUUGUUAUUGGUGGUUCCUUUUAUUCAAGAUUUUCUUAAGUUGAGCCCUGUAGGAGCUGUUGUAUAUUGGUCCAUCACUAUACUCGAUGCUAUUCUCUCUCUUUAAUUAAGCUCUUGACACUAUGUUUUGCUUGUUACUUUGGUAUCUGGGCGUUACCUAUUUAUUCUAUGUUUAUUUUGUUUGCCUUGAGAUUUGUGUUUGUAUAAUUUGAUUGUCAUCUUUGGCUUCAGUACAUUUUGUAAUCUGUUUUUUUUUCGUGAUUCUGUAGUCUUAGUUUGCAAUGAUUAUUCUCCUUAGGUACCAUGGUGAUUGGUCCUUGCAGACAGUGGCACACAUGGGGCCGUUUCGAGUUUGUUGUCUAGCAGUGUGGUUUGAUUUAUCUGGAUUCAACUUUGGACCUUUCUUGUUGGCUAGCUUAGAGUUGCUCUUUGUUAAUUAUAUGAUGAAACUCUUACGGCCAGGCGAUGUUGUUGGUGGGGGAGCUAUAUAUGAAUUGGUAGUUUGCUUAAUGGGCUCCAUGGCAUACGGCUGCUGGGUGGGCUCCGUUUGGUAUAUCUAAAUUAUUGUGAAGUGUUAUGGAUCUCUCAGAUGUAUAUACAUUGGCUGUUGUUAUGUUAGGGGUUUUGGCUGCAUCAUGUUGCUAGCAACCAUAUUUUUAGCUGAUCUGUAUUUGAGUUUUCUGUAGCAUUUUGUUGGGUGGCUGGCAGUUAAGUUUCUAUAUGCUUUCUUGCUGAAAGAUACGCGGACAGUAUGAGGUGACGAGAGUGCCAAGAUCAUUCAAAUAUCAGAAACAUUUGUACCAUUUAUGGAGCUCUGUUGAAUGGGUGUAAGUUAUCCUUGAUAUCUUUGGAUGUUAAUUUCAUGGAUGAUGCACUCUAUUGGCUUUCUGCCUGAUCUAUGAGGUGUGUAUGUAGUUCCAUCCUUAGGGUCUGUAACAGCGAGUCUUCUUGACUAAUAGCACCAAUACAAAUGGAAUGGGUCAGGUGCACAUGGUUUUUAAUUGAGAUCUGGUUGCAAACGAUGGUUUGAUCUGCCUCUUGCCUUGACCUAUUUGACUUGCUGUUGUCUGAGUUGUCUACUGUUGGAUUGAUUCUUCUAGCGACCUUUUGGUUUCAAUUGGAAUGGGCAUGAAAAGUUAUACUUGAGAUAUUUAUUUAUUGCGUUUCGGCGAUCGGAGGUGGAUGUUGUCCGAUCUCUUUUUACUUUUUAUUGGUUUGGAUCAAUGUGGUACAGUGUUAUUGCUUUUGCUCAUUGGUUGUAAAUGUUUAUAUGAUGAUUGUGAAAUCUUGAUUUGUAAUGAUUGUUCUCCUUGGGUACCAUUUUUUUUUUUUUCAGAUAUUGGAGAUGUGGAAUAAUGGGGAUUUGGUGUUGUUGUCCAUUCACUCUUUACUUUGUUAUUGGUGGUUUUUUUUAUUCAAGAUUUUCUUUAGUUGAGCUCCCGUAGGAGCUGUUGUAUAUUGGUCCAUCACUAUACUCGAUGCUAUUCUCUCUUUAAAUGAGCUCUUGACACUAUGUUUUUUUUGUUACUUUGGUAUCUGGGCAUUACCUAUUUAUUCUAUGUUUAUUUUGUUUUCCUUGCGAUUUGUGUUUGUAUAGUUUGAUUAUCAUCUUUGGCUUCAGUACAUUUUGUAAUCUGUUUUUUUUUUUUUUGGUGAUUGUGAAGUCUUAGUUUGCAAUUACUAUUCUCCUUUGGUACCAUGGUGAUUGGUCCUUGCUGACAAUGGCACACAUGGGACCGUUUCGAGUUUGUUGUCUAGCAGUGUGGUUUUAUUUAUCUAGAUUCAACUUUGGACCUUUCUUGUUGGCUAGCCUAGAGUUGCUCUUUGUUAAUUAUAUGAUGAUACUCUUUACGCCCUGGCGAUGCUGUAGGUGGGGGAGCUAUAUAUGAAUUGGUAGUUUGCUUAAUGGGCUCCAUGGCAUACGGCUGCUGGGUGGGCUCCAUUUGGUAUGUCUAAAUUAUAGUGAAGUGUUAUGGAUCUCUCAGAUGUAUAUACGUUGGCUGUUGUUAUGUUAGGGGUUUUGGCUGCAUCAUGUAGCUAGCAACCAUAUUUUUAGCUGAUCUGUAUUUGAGUUUCUUGUAGCAUUUUGUUGGGUGGCUGGCAGUUAAGUUUUUAUAUGCUUUCUUGCUGAAAGAUAUGCAGACAGUAUGAGGUGACGAGUGUGCCAAGAACAUUCAAAGAUCAGAAACAUGUGUACCAUUUAUGGAGCUCUGUUGAAUGGGCGUAAGUUAUCCUUGAUAUCUUUGGAUUUCAAUUUCAUGGAUGAUGCACUCUAUUGGCUUUCUGCCUGAUCUAUGAGGUGUGUAUGUAGUUCCAUCCUUGGGGUCAGUAACUGUAAGUCUUCUGUACUAAUAGCGCCAAUACAAAUGGAAUGGGUCGGGUGCACAUGGUUAUUAAUUGAGAUCUGGUUGCAAACGAUUGUUUGAUCUGCCUUUUGCCUUGACCUAUUUGACUUGCAGUUGUCUGAGUUGUCUAGUGUUGGAUUGAUUCUUCCAGCGACCUUUUGGUUUCAGAUGGAAUGGGCAUGAAAAGUUGUACGUGAGGUAUUUAUUUAUUGGAUUUCAGCAAUCGGAGGUGGAAGAGAAGGGAUAUGGUGAUGUUGUCCGUUCUCUCUUUACUUUUUAUUGGUUUGGAUCAAUGUGGUACAGUGUUAUUGCUUUUGCUCAUUGGUUGUAAAUGUUUAUAUGAUGAUUGUGAAAUCUUGAUUUGUAUUGAUUGUUCUCCUUAGGUUCCUUGAUGAUUUGCCCUUGUAAUGGGUGGGGAACACAUAUUGAUUGUUCUCCUUAGGUGGGGGAGCUAUAUAUCAAUCGGUUUUUAUCCCCAAUGGGAUCCAUUGCAUUCGGCUGCUGUUUGGGCUCUAUUUAGUAUGGUUUAAUUUAAGUUUAGUGUUUUGGAUCUCUCAAAGGUAUAUACAUUGGCUGUUAUGUUGGGGGUUUAGGCUGCAUCAUGGUGGUUACAACCAUAUUGUUAGUUGAUUUGUAUUCCAGUUUGUUGUUGCAUUUUUCUUGAUGACUGGCAGUUGGGUUUCUUUAUGCUUUCUGACUGGAACAUGCGGACUGUUUGAGGUGACGGGAGUGCUAGGAACAUCAUUACCAUUUAUAGAGCUCUGAUGAAAGGUAGUUAGUUAUCCUUGAUCUCUUUGGAUGUCAAUUACAUUGAUGAUACAUUCUAUAUUGGUUUUCUGCCUGAUCUACGAGGUGUCAGGGUAGCUCUGUCUUUGGUGUCUGUAAUAGUGAACUCUCCUGUGGUGGACCAGCAGCACCAACUCAUAUGGAUUGGGGACGGGUACAUUGGGUUGUUAAUUGAGAACUGGAUGCAAAGUGAAAGAUGGUUUGAUCUGUGCCUCUUGCCUUAACCUUUCAUGUGAAUUGUAGUUUUUUGAGUUUAGUGUUUUGUUGAUUGAUAUGUUCUUUUAGUCACUGUUUGGUUUGAGAUGGAAAGAGGAUCAAAAGUCCACUGAGAUAUGCAUUUUUUGGUUUUUCAGAUGUUGGAGGUGUGAAAUAAAGUGGAUUUGGUGGUGUUGUCCAUUCACUCUUUACUUUUUUAUUGGUGGUUCCUUUUAUACAGGAUUUGCUUUAGUUAUGCUCCUGUAGGAGCUGUUGUAUAUUUGUCCAUCAUUAUACUCGAUGUUAUUCUCUCUCUUUAGAUAACCUAUGUUGUGUUUGUUACUUUGGUAUCUGGGCGUUACCUCUUUAUUCUAUGUUUAUUUUGUUUUCUUUGAGAUUUGUGUUUGUAUAGUUUGAUUAUCAUCUUUGGCUUCAAAAACCUUUUAUUAUCAGUUUUUUUUGAUUUGUGAUUGUGAAGUCUUAGUUUGCAAUGAUUAUUCUCCUAAGGUACCAUAGUGAUCGGUCCUUGUAGAUGGUGGCACGCAUGGGGCUGUUUCGAGUUUGUCGUCAAACAGUAUGGUUUGAUUUAUCUGGAUUCAACUUUGGACCUUUUUUGUUGGCUAGCGCUCUUUGUUAAUUAUAUGAUGAUACUCUUACGGCCUGGCGAUGCUGUAGGUGGGGGAGCUAUAUAUGAAUUGGUAGUUUGCUUAAUGGGCUCCAUGGCAUACGGCUGCUGGGUGGGCUCCAUUUGGUAUGUCUAAAUUAUAGUGAGGUGUUAUGGAUCUCUCAGAUGCAUAUACGUUGGCUGUUGUUAUGUUAGGGGUUUUGGCUGCAUCAUGUUGCUAGCAACCAUAUUUUUAGCUGAUCUGUAUUUGAGUUUCUUGUAGCAUUUUGUUGGGUGGCUGGCAGGUAAGUUUCUAUAUGCUUUCUUUCUGGAAGAUAUGCAGACAGUAUGAGGUGACGAGAGUGCCAAGAACAUUAAAAGAUGAGAAACAUGUGUAUCAUUUAUGGAGCUCUGUUGAAUGGGUUGUAAGUUAUCCUUGAUAUCUUUGGAUGUCAAUUUCAUGGAUGAUACACUCUAUAUUGGCUUUCUGCCUGAUGUAUGUGGUGUGUAGGUAUUUCCAUCUUUGGUGUCUGUAACAGUGACUCUUCUGGACCCGAAGUGCCAACACAAAUGGAAUGGGGUCGGGUGCACAUGGUUAUUAAUUGAGAUCUGGUUGCAAAACAUGGUUUGAUCUGCCUCUUGCCCUGACCUAUUUGCCUUGCAGUUGUCUGAGUUUUUUAGUGUUUGAUUGAUUCUUUUAGCGACCUUUUGGUUUCUUAUGGAGUGAGCAUUAAAAGUUACCUGAGAUAUUUAUUUAUUGGAUUUUCGGAGAUCGGAGGUGGAAGAGAAGGGAUAUGGUGAUGUUGUUUGUUCUCUCUUUACUUAUUCAUUGGUUGGGAUCAGUUUGGUUCAGUGAUUUACUUUUUGCUCAUUGGUUGUAAACGUUUAUAUGUUGAUUGUGAAAUCUUGAUUUGUAUUGAUUGAUCUCCUUAGGUACCUUGGUGAUUUGCCCUUGUAAUCGGUGGUGAACACAUUGGACCGUUUUAAAUUAGUUGUCUAUUAGUGUGGUUCGAUUUUUCUGGGCUCAACAUUGGACCUUCUUUCUUGUUGUGUAGCUUAGAGUUGUUCUAUGUUAAUUGUCUGAGUCAACAUGGAUAGAUGAAUGAAUUCCAUGAUUUAUAAGAUAUAAAUGAUUUAUAGGAUAUUCUUUUACUUAUUUGGCCAUAGCAUCCUUUAUCUCCUGGUCCAUCACUCCACAACAUGUUGUUUUUGUCUCUGAAGAUCCAACACUCUACUUCAUGGUGUAUUUUGCUCUUUUCCUCAUUCAGGCUUCUUGUUUUCUAGUCUCUGGACUAUCACUCUUUGUCAUGUUUAUUAUGUUUUGAAGAGAUACUGGUGUGCCCAGCGAUGGUUAUCUUGCCAUCAUUAUUCAUCCAUGAUUUGAGACAUGAAUCUACCGAGGUUUUGAAGGUGAAUUGAGAUUGUAGCAUAGUUUUUAUUGAAAUUCAGAUCCAUAUCCAAUUUCAAGUAUUGGUGAUACCUCAUCUUAUUGGCUUCUUGGCUGGUUGUUUCCUAGUCACGCUUCUUAGCAGUAUUGGCCUCUCUAUUUGUUUGUAUAAGUUGCUUGAGCUUGGUGGUCGCUGUCCUUGUGACAGGUUUUCAGGAACCAUUUGAGCAAGAUAUGUUAACUGAAACAUGGAUGGUGUUGCCUUUGUGUGGGUUCAGGUUUUUACAUGUUUUAGUUUGAUGAUAUUUUUUUGCAGAUCAGUUGAUCUUUGACGUUUUGUGAUUAUAAUUAUGGUGUAAUUUUUGGAGGAAAUUAUAAUUCCUGUAUUUGCUUUUGUGUUCUGAUUUGUUUGGGUUUCUUAAUCUUCUACUCAAAUUUAUGAAGUUUGUAUUUAUGCUUCAAUUUGUGUUCAGUGUGUACUCGUAUCCUUACCAGAUUGUGCAUUCAAAGGAUCUACUUUAUGUAAGAUGAUCAACUCUCUAUAAGAUGGGCCUAGUUGCAAUAGGUUACGACCUUCUAUUUUAUGGUUUAAUCGAGUCUCCCGAUUCUCUUGCCAUCUCUUUUCAAUUGUUCUCUGUUAUUCUCCUGCCAUCUCCUUUCAAUUGUUCUCUGUUAUUCUUUCUUGGUGAUUCUUUGCAGUUUAACUAGUGCUAGUGGAUUUUCAUUGCACUGCUCGAGCGGCAUUAUGAUUUUCCUCUAGGUGGUGAUGUUUUGUGAAAGAUAUUGUAGAGGUAUUCUCUUGUUGAAAAAGUAAAAAACUCGCUUAGGAAUUUUUGGUGAUUCCAGCAAGUUUUUAAUAUUUUGGAAGCCAUUCUUUUGGAAUGAAUGUUGCAUCUUAUGUUUAUUAAAAUUGCUAAAUUUAGAAAGCUAAUUUCCUAGCUAGGGAUUCGGCAAUAUUAACAUGCAUGUCUUAGAUUUUUUAGGAAUAUUAGACUUCUAAAAUGAGAGAUUCAUAAUGUUCAUGAUUUC